Molecule: ribosomal RNA, 465 nt
Filed under: Vreelandella stevensii
Lineage: Bacteria; Pseudomonadati; Pseudomonadota; Gammaproteobacteria; Oceanospirillales; Halomonadaceae
Description: partial 16S ribosomal RNA
Rfam family: Bacterial small subunit ribosomal RNA
Source: RNAcentral
CCUACGGGAGGCAGCAGUGGGGAAUAUUGGACAAUGGGCGAAAGCCUGAUCCAGCCAUGCCGCGUGUGUGAAGAAGGCCUUCGGGUUGUAAAGCACUUUCAGUGGGGAAGAAAGCCUUGGGGCUAAUACCCUCGAGGAAGGACAUCACCCACAGAAGAAGCACCGGCUAACUCCGUGCCAGCAGCCGCGGUAAUACGGAGGGUGCGAGCGUUAAUCGGAAUUACUGGGCGUAAAGCGCGCGUAGGCGGUCUGAUAAGCCGGUUGUGAAAGCCCCGGGCUCAACCUGGGAACGGCAUCCGGAACUGUCAGGCUAGAGGGCAGGAGAGGAAGGUAGAAUUCCCUGUGUAGCGGUGAAAUGCGUAGAGAUCGGGAGGAAUACCAGUGGCGAAGGCGGCCUUCUGGACUGACACUGACGCUGAGGUGCGAAAGCGUGGGUAGCAAACAGGAUUAGAUACCCCGGUAGUC